Molecule: ribosomal RNA, 1099 nt
Filed under: Halomonas sp. A10(2009)
Lineage: Bacteria; Pseudomonadati; Pseudomonadota; Gammaproteobacteria; Oceanospirillales; Halomonadaceae
Description: bacterial SSU rRNA
Rfam family: Bacterial small subunit ribosomal RNA
Source: RNAcentral
UGGGGGGGCGGCGGGCCUACACAUGCAGUCGAGCGGUAACAGGGGUAGCUUGCUACCCGCUGACGAGCGGCGGACGGGUGAGUAAUGCAUAGGAAUUUACCCGAUAGUGGGGGAUAACCUGGGGAAACCCAGGCUAAUACCGCAUACGUCCUACGGGAGAAAGGGGGCUUCGGCUCCCGCUAUCGGAUGAGCCUAUGCCGGAUUAGCUGGUUGGUGAGGUAAUGGCUCACCAAGGCGACGAUCCGUAGCUGGUCUGAGAGGAUGAUCAGCCACAUCGGGACUGAGACACGGCCCGAACUCCUACGGGAGGCAGCAGUGGGGAAUAUUGGACAAUGGGCGCAAGCCUGAUCCAGCCAUGCCGCGUGUGUGAAGAAGGCCCUCGGGUUGUAAAGCACUUUCAGCGAGGAAGAACGCCUGGCGGUUAAUACCCGCCAGGAAAGACAUCACUCGCAGAAGAAGCACCGGCUAACUCCGUGCCAGCAGCCGCGGUAAUACGGAGGGUGCAAGCGUUAAUCGGAAUUACUGGGCGUAAAGCGCGCGUAGGUGGCUUGAUAAGCCGGUUGUGAAAGCCCCGGGCUCAACCUGGGAACGGCAUCCGGAACUGUCAGGCUAGAGUGCAGGAGAGGAAGGUAGAAUUCCCGGUGUAGCGGUGAAAUGCGUAGAGAUCGGGAGGAAUACCAGUGGCGAAGGCGGCCUUCUGGACUGACACUGACACUGAGGUGCGAAAGCGUGGGUAGCAAACAGGAUUAGAUACCCUGGUAGUCCACGCCGUAAACGAUGUCGACCAGCCGUUGGGUGCCUAGCGCACUUUGUGGCGAAGUUAACGCGAUAAGUCGACCGCCUGGGGAGUACGGCCGCAAGGUUAAAACUCAAAUGAAUUGACGGGGGCCCGCACAAGCGGUGGAGCAUGUGGUUUAAUUCGAUGCAACGCGAAGAACCUUACCUACUCUUGACAUCCUGCGAACUUGUGAGAGAUCACUGAGUGCCUUCGGGAGCGCAGAGACAGGUGCUGCAUGGCUGUCGUCAGCUCGUGUUGUGAAAUGUUGGGUUAAGUCCCGUAACGAGCGCAACCCUUGUCCUUAUUUGCCAGCACGUAAUG